AUUUAUGUAAUUAUAAAUUUAUUAAAAUAAGUAAUUAAUAUAAAUUUUGUAUCCGAAGAGCCAUCAAAUUAUUUAAAUCAAACAAAUUGGAAGCUUAAAUACUAAAAUCAAAAUUGGAAAGAUUAGAUAGUCAAAUCAAAAUGAUUAAUAGUUAAGAUAAGUUUUGUAUAUUUUUAUUUGAAUUAAAUAUAUUGUUCUUCGGAGUUUAUAAGUAUAGAGCGACUAUGUUAUCAGAAGCAUAGAGGGUUUUAUACUUCCGACUUUCCAACCCUUGGAUCAAGAAUAGUUUGGUUGGGAGGAUUGCAGUCCCCCCUAGGGUUGAAUAGUACUCAUAGGAUUGAGUGGUCCCUACAGGGUAAUAGCAUUAAUCCAAAGGUUAGAAAUGAUCAAAUGGGUUAAUCUAAGGGCCAAAAAGUCGGAAGCACCAAAUACUCUACACUUCCGAUAGUAUAGUAGCUCUCCUCAGUUUAUAAUAAUAUUACUGUCUAAUUAAAAUACUCCCUAUUAUCCUGUUAGUAAAA
This 521-nucleotide long non-coding RNA is filed under the name Ananas comosus (pineapple). Its description in RNAcentral is "long non-coding RNA (ACOM_LNC012471)". The record is from RNAcentral. Lineage: Eukaryota; Viridiplantae; Streptophyta; Magnoliopsida; Poales; Bromeliaceae.